CAUUUGUUCCCUAAAUAGGGACUUGUAUGAAUGGCCACACGAGGGUUUUACUGUCUCUUACUUCCAAUCAGUGAAAUUGACCUUCCCGUGAAGAGACGGGGAUAGACAAAUAAGACGAGAAGACCCUAUGGAGCUUUAACUAACCAGCCCAAAGAAAACAAGCUCAACCACCAAGGGACAACAAAAUUCUUUAUGGACUAGCAGUUUCGGUUGGGGUGACCUCGGAGAAUAAAAAAUCCUCCGAGCGAUUUUAAAGACCAGACCUACAAGUCAAAUCAAAUCAUCGCUUAUUGAUCCAAAAACUUGAUCAACGGAACAAGUUACCCUAGGGAUAACAGCGCA
Molecule: ribosomal RNA, 342 nt
Filed under: Redunca redunca (Bohar reedbuck)
Lineage: Eukaryota; Metazoa; Chordata; Mammalia; Artiodactyla; Bovidae
Description: partial 16S ribosomal RNA
Rfam family: Archaeal large subunit ribosomal RNA
Source: RNAcentral